AUAUAUUGCCAUAUCAUGCUGCAGCCCAAGACCGGUUACUCACUGAAGCUAAGCAGGGCUGAGCCUGGUCAGUACCUGGAUGGGAGACCACUAGGGAACACUAGGUUGCUGUUGGAA
This 117-nucleotide ribosomal RNA is filed under the name Danio rerio (zebrafish). Lineage: Eukaryota; Metazoa; Chordata; Actinopteri; Cypriniformes; Danionidae. The record is from RNAcentral.